The sequence is a ribosomal RNA, 446 nucleotides long. The stretch from base 138 to 291 matches the Rfam family "5.8S ribosomal RNA".
ACUCAUCACCCUGUGACAUACCUAAAACGUUGCCUCGGCGGGAACAGACGGCCCCGUAACACGGGCCGCCCCCGCCAGAGGACCCCCUAACUCUGUUUCUAUAAUGUUUCUUCUGAGUAAACAAGCAAAUAAAUUAAAACUUUCAACAACGGAUCUCUUGGCUCUGGCAUCGAUGAAGAACGCAGCGAAAUGCGAUAAGUAAUGUGAAUUGCAGAAUUCAGUGAAUCAUCGAAUCUUUGAACGCACAUUGCGCCCGCCAGUAUUCUGGCGGGCAUGCCUGUUCGAGCGUCAUUACAACCCUCAGGCCCCCGGGCCUGGCGUUGGGGAUCGGCGGAAGCCCCCUGCGGGCACAACGCCGUCCCCCAAAUACAGUGGCGGUCCCGCCGCAGCUUCCAUUGCGUAGUAGCUAACACCUCUCAACUGGAGAGCGGCGCGGCCACGCCGUA